Molecule: ribosomal RNA, 484 nt
Filed under: uncultured bacterium
Lineage: Bacteria
Description: partial 16S ribosomal RNA
Rfam family: Bacterial small subunit ribosomal RNA
Source: RNAcentral
AUUGAACGCUGGCGGCAUGCUUUACACAUGCAAGUCGAACGGCAGCACGGUGGCAACCCUGGUGGCGAGUGUCGAACGGGUGAGUAAUACAUCUGAACAUGCCCGGUCGUGGGGGAUAACGUAUCGAAAGAUACGCUAAUACCGCAUACGAUCUGAGGCUGAAAGCGGGGGACCUUCGGACCUCGCGCGAUCGGAGCGGCCGAUGUCAGAUUAGGUAGUUGGUGGGGUAAAGGCCUACCAAGCCGACUAUCUGUAGCUGGUCUGAGAGGACGACCAGCCACACUGGGACUGAAACAGGGCCCAGACUCCUGCGGGAGGCAGCAGUGGGGAAUUUUGGACAAUGGGCGCAAGCCUGAUCCAACCAUUCCGCGUGCAGGGCGAAGGCCUUCGGGUUGUAAUCUGCUUUUGUGUGGAGCGAAAAGGCUCUGGCUAAUACCUGGGGCUCAUGACGGUACCGUAAGAAUAAGCACCGGCUAACUACGUG